UACGGAGGAUGCAAGCGUUAUCCGGAUUUAUUGGGUUUAAAGGGUGCGUAGGCGGAGUAAUAAGUCAGUGGUGAAAACCUGCAGCUAAACUGUAGAAUUGCCGUUGAUACUGUUAUUCUUGAGUGUGGUCAAGGUAGGCGGAAUGUGUAAUGUAGCGGUGAAAUGCUUAGAUAUUACACAGAACACCGAUUGCGAAGGCAGCUUGCUGGGCCAUUACUGACGCUGAUGCACGAAAGCGUGGGGAUCGAAC
Molecule: ribosomal RNA, 250 nt
Filed under: uncultured bacterium
Lineage: Bacteria
Description: partial 16S ribosomal RNA
Rfam family: Bacterial small subunit ribosomal RNA
Source: RNAcentral